This 159-nucleotide small RNA is filed under the name Gopherus agassizii (Agassiz's desert tortoise). RNAcentral's name for it is "TUC338 (ENSGAGG00000021485.1)". Lineage: Eukaryota; Metazoa; Chordata; Testudines; Testudinidae. The record is from RNAcentral.
CUAGUGGUUCUGGAGAUUGAAGGCCUGUAUCCACCACACAGCAGCAGGGUGUAUUUCUCCUCACCACCUCCCACCAGGGUGCCUCAUCCUGCCCUGGAGGGGCCAUUUCUUGGGUGAAAGGGGCGUUCUGUCUCCAUGGCUCAUCAGUUCUUGGCCUCU